UUCGGCCUACGUUUCCCCUGCCCAUGCGGAGGGACGCGUUAUCUUGCUUAGCAAUCAAGAAUCUACUGCAUAGUUAACUAGCUGUUGAACCGCUGCCAAGGGAGGAAGAGAGAGUACAAAGUAGACAUUAAUAAUACCAAUUGAUGGCCGCGCGCCUGAUGGCGGCCUGCGAGCGGCGAAACAAACCAAAGGAUAAUCCGAUCUCUCGGCGACCAUCAUGAUCCUUAAAAACCCUAUCUGAUUGUUGACAAAAAACCCGUGGGAUGUGGGGUAAACGCCCUCAAUUUACCACUCCACGGCUAGCCGGUAGUGAGCUCGAGGGGACAAACAUCUCUAUAGCUAACUAGUUAAUGUGGAUGAUUUCUCUAAGCUUUAUAAUUUAUUAAUUAAUAGUGCUGGUAGAGAUGGUAAAAAUGGUAAUGAGAGGAAAUAGAUCAUUAAUCUCUUUGAUCGCAUUGAUAUGCUUGCACCUUGCGAGCUCUGUAAUCUGAUGUUAGGACUUUUGGCACCAAAGGUACCAACCAACUGGACAAAUGGUUUCAAACCUAGAAUAUUUGAUUUUCUUUCAGUGAUC
Molecule: small RNA, 574 nt
Filed under: Histoplasma capsulatum
Lineage: Eukaryota; Fungi; Ascomycota; Eurotiomycetes; Onygenales; Ajellomycetaceae
Also listed under: 1 other name
Description: hypothetical RNA
Source: RNAcentral